This 225-nucleotide long non-coding RNA is filed under the name Lathyrus oleraceus (garden pea). Its description in RNAcentral is "Pisum sativum (pea) long non-coding RNA (PSAT_LNC008392)". The record is from RNAcentral. Lineage: Eukaryota; Viridiplantae; Streptophyta; Magnoliopsida; Fabales; Fabaceae.
UUAAUUUAAAAAAAAUUUAAAAAAAUGAAAGUAACUUAUUGGUAAAGAAGUUGUCCACGUACACCAACUUCUUCAUUCUUUUGGAAAUAGCCAUUUCCCCACAUUACUAACCAACACACAUCAUUAUUCCUUAUUAUUUUUUAGAGAUUAAAAGAAAAAAAAUGGAGUGUAUGAACCACUCUCUCUGCAUGGAAUCAAACAAGAAUAUAGUUACAUGGAAACUAC